This 445-nucleotide ribosomal RNA is filed under the name uncultured bacterium. Its description in RNAcentral is "partial 16S ribosomal RNA". It matches the Rfam family "Bacterial small subunit ribosomal RNA", at positions 354 to 796 of the family's 1533-position model. The record is from RNAcentral.
GUGAGGAAUAUUGGUCAAUGGGCGCAAGCCUGAACCAGCCAUGCCGCGUGGAGGAUGAAGGUCCUCUGGAUUGUAAACUUCUUUUAUAUGGGACGAAAAAAGGCUUUUCUAAGUCGUCUGACGGUACCAUAUGAAUAAGCACCGGCUAACUCCGUGCCAGCAGCCGCGGUAAUACGGAGGGUGCAAGCGUUAUCCGGAUUCACUGGGUUUAAAGGGUGCGUAGGUGGAUUGCCAAGUCCGUGGUGAAAUCUUCGAGCUUAACUCGGAAACUGCCAUGGAUACUGGUGAUCUUGAAUAUCGUGGAGGUUAGCGGAAUAUGUCAUGUAGCGGUGAAAUGCUUAGAUAUGACAUAGAACACCAAUUGCGAAGGCAGCUGGCUACGCGAAUAUUGACACUCAGGCACGAAAGCGUGGGGAUCAAACAGGAUUAGAAACCCGAGUAGUCC